AAUAGAGAGAAGUUGGUCAACCAAAAGGUCGAGCAAGGGAUUAACCGAGAGGUUAAAGAGUAGAAGUCUUUCAAACUAUUGCCUAGGCGAGGUAAAAGGCAAGGGCUAUUAGCUCAGCUGGUUAGAGCGCACCCCUGAUAAGGGUGAGGUCUCUGGUUCAAGUCCAGAAUGGCCCACCUAACCAAAAAAGCCAAAGAGAAGGAUAAAUCCUUCAGCAUCCUGUCUGAUGAGAGUCAGAGGGAAUGCUGGAUGUAAGUCCAGUAAGGACCUUGAAAACUGCAUAAAGAAAAGAGAAAGCAGGGAAAAUCUUGCUUUUCCUAACCGUUUUGAUGUUAACCACAAGGCUUUUGGCUGAGUGUGAGACUGAAGGGCGGUGAAGGUAGGAGGAAAGAUGAUCCUAGUUAGCAAAAAGAAGAUCUUAAAAAGGUCAAGCUACAAAGGGCUAACGGUGGAUACCU
This 458-nucleotide transfer RNA is filed under the name Synechocystis sp. YACCYB298. RNAcentral describes it as "partial may contain 16S-23S ribosomal RNA intergenic spacer". The stretch from base 103 to 176 matches the Rfam family "tRNA". RNAcentral also lists the same sequence under 4 other names. The record is from RNAcentral. Lineage: Bacteria; Bacillati; Cyanobacteriota; Cyanophyceae; Synechococcales; Merismopediaceae.